UCCGGUGACUAUGGCGGGAGGGUCACACCUGUUCCCAUUCCGAACACAGAAGUUAAGCCUCCUUGCGCCUAUGGUACUGCCAGGCUUCCUGGUGGGAGAGCGGGUCGUCGCCGGAU
Molecule: ribosomal RNA, 116 nt
Filed under: Deltaproteobacteria bacterium
Lineage: Bacteria; Pseudomonadati; Myxococcota; Myxococcia
Source: RNAcentral